This 253-nucleotide ribosomal RNA is filed under the name uncultured prokaryote. Its description in RNAcentral is "partial 16S ribosomal RNA". It matches the Rfam family "Bacterial small subunit ribosomal RNA", at positions 525 to 777 of the family's 1533-position model. The record is from RNAcentral.
ACAGAGGUCCCAAGCGUUGUUCGGAUUCACUGGGCGUAAAGGGUGCGUAGGUGGUCGGGUAAGUCUGAUGUGAAAUCUCCAAGCUCAACUUGGAAACUGCAUCGGAUACUAUUCGGCUUGAGGGUUGGAGGGGGGACUGGAAUGCUUGGUGUAGCAGUGAAAUGCGUAGAUAUCAAGCGGAACACCAGUGGCGAAGGCGAAUCCCUGGACAACUCCUGACACUGAGGCACGAAAGCUAGGGGAGCAAACAGGA